CCUACGGGUGGCAGCAGUGAGGAAUAUUGGUCAAUGGUCGAGAGCCUGAACCAGCCACGCCGCGUGAGGGAUGAAGGUACAGAGUAUCGUAAACCUCUUUUGUCAGGGAACAAAGACGGGGACGUGUCCCCGGAUGAGUGUACCUGAAGAAAAAGCAUCGGCUAACUCCGUGCCAGCAGCCGCGGUAAUACGGAGGAUGCGAGCGUUAUCUGGUUUUAUUGGGUUAAAAGGGUGGGCAGGCGGUCUGUUAAGUCAGCGGGAAAAGCCCGGGGCUAAACCCGGGCCUGCUGUUGAAACUGGCAGGCUGGAGUGCGAGAGAAGUAGGCGGAAUGCGCGGUGUGGCGGUGAAAUGCAUAGAUAUCGCGCAGAACUCCGAUUGCGAAGGCAGCAUGCCGGCUCCACACUGACGCUGAGGCACGAAAGCGUGGGUAUCGAACAGGAUUAGAUACCCGUGUAGUC
This 459-nucleotide ribosomal RNA is filed under the name uncultured bacterium. RNAcentral describes it as "partial 16S ribosomal RNA". It matches the Rfam family "Bacterial small subunit ribosomal RNA", at positions 338 to 795 of the family's 1533-position model. The record is from RNAcentral.